GAUGAGAGCCUGCGGGGGCAGAGGUUCGACCCGAGCGAAGCGAGAGAACGUUGCUUCAGCAAUGGCCCGCAGGAUGAGCCACGCAGAGGCGAGUCAUC
Molecule: small RNA, 98 nt
Filed under: Kosakonia sacchari
Lineage: Bacteria; Pseudomonadati; Pseudomonadota; Gammaproteobacteria; Enterobacterales; Enterobacteriaceae
Description: RtT sRNA
Rfam family: RtT RNA
About the family: This family represents a bacterial cis-regulatory element known as RtT RNA. The exact function of RtT is unknown although it is thought that it may be involved in changing the cellular response in relation to amino acid starvation.
Source: RNAcentral